AGUCGAACGAAGUAGCAAUACUUAGUGGCAGACGGGUGAGUAACAUGUAGGUAUCUGCCCUUUGACCUGGAAUAACACGAGGAAACUUGUGCUAAUACCGGAUAAGUCUUUACGGAGAAAGCUUUAUGCACCAUUGGAUGAGCCUGCACUUGAUUAGUUUGUUGGUGGGGUAAUGGCCUACCAAGACUGUGAUCAAUAGCUGAUUUGAGAGGAUGAUCAGCCACAUUGGGACUGAGACACGGCCCAAACUCCUACGGGAGGCAGCAGUGGGGAAUCUUGCACAAUGGAGGAAACUCUGAUGCAGCGAUGCCGCGUGAGUGAAGAAGGCCUUUGGGUUGUAAAGCUCUUUCGUCGGGGAAGAAAAUGACUGUACCCGAAUAAGAAGGUCCGGCUAACUUCGUGCCAGCAGCCGCGGUAAUACGAAGGGACCUAGCGUAGUUCGGAAUUACUGGGCUUAAAGAGUUCGUAGGUGGUUGAAAAAGUUAGUGGUGAAAUCCCAGAGCUUAACUCUGGAACUGCCAUUAAAACUUUUCAGCUAGAGUAUGAUAGAGGAAAGCAGAAUUU
This 564-nucleotide ribosomal RNA is filed under the name uncultured marine bacterium. Its description in RNAcentral is "bacterial SSU rRNA". It matches the Rfam family "Bacterial small subunit ribosomal RNA", at positions 60 to 669 of the family's 1533-position model. The record is from RNAcentral.